CAUACUGUUUGUUAAUCACACU
Molecule: microRNA, 22 nt
Filed under: Oreochromis niloticus (Nile tilapia)
Lineage: Eukaryota; Metazoa; Chordata; Actinopteri; Cichliformes; Cichlidae
Description: oni-miR-10885
Source: miRBase by way of RNAcentral